GACGAACGCUGGCGGCGUGCUUAACACAUGCAAGUCGAACGGAAAGGCCCUGCUUUUGUGGGGUGCUCGAGUGGCGAACGGGUGAGUAACACGUGAGUAACCUGCCCUUGACUUUGGGAUAACUUCAGGAAACUGGGGCUAAUACCGGAUAGGAGCUCCUGCUGCAUGGUGGGGGUUGGAAAGUUUCGGCGGUUGGGGAUGGACUCGCGGCUUAUCAGCUUGUUGGUGGGGUAGUGGCUUACCAAGGCUUUGACGGGUAGCCGGCCUGAGAGGGUGACCGGCCACAUUGGGACUGGGGUUCGGCCCCGACUCCUACGGGGGGGAGCAGGGGGGGAUAUUGCCCAAUGGGCGGAAGCCUGAUGCAGCAACCCCGCGUGCGGGAUGACGGCCCUCGGGUUGGAAACCGCUUUCGCCUGUGACGAAGCGUGAGUGACGGUAAUGGGUAAAGAAGCACCGGCUAACUACCUG
RNAcentral lists this ribosomal RNA (468 nucleotides) under uncultured bacterium. Its description in RNAcentral is "partial 16S ribosomal RNA". It matches the Rfam family "Bacterial small subunit ribosomal RNA", at positions 28 to 507 of the family's 1533-position model. The record is from RNAcentral.